RNAcentral lists this ribosomal RNA (465 nucleotides) under uncultured Burkholderiales bacterium. RNAcentral's name for it is "bacterial SSU rRNA". It matches the Rfam family "Bacterial small subunit ribosomal RNA", at positions 932 to 1401 of the family's 1533-position model. Lineage: Bacteria; Pseudomonadati; Pseudomonadota; Betaproteobacteria; Burkholderiales. The record is from RNAcentral.
GUGGAUGAUGUGGUUUAAUUCGAUGCAACGCGAAAAACCUUACCCACCUUUGACAUGUACGGAAGUUACCAGAGAUGGUUUCGUGCUCGAAAGAGAACCGUAACACAGGUGCUGCAUGGCUGUCGUCAGCUCGUGUCGUGAGAUGUUGGGUUAAGUCCCGCAACGAGCGCAACCCUUGUCAUUAGUUGCUACGAAAGGGCACUCUAAUGAGACUGCCGGNGACAAACCGGAGGAAGGUGGGGAUGACGUCAAGUCCUCAUGGCCCUUAUAGGUGGGGCUACACACGUCAUACAAUGGCUGGUACAGAGGGUUGCCAACCCGCGAGGGGGAGCUAAUCCCAUAAAACCAGUCGUAGUCCGGAUCGCAGUCUGCAACUCGACUGCGUGAAGUCGGAAUCGCUAGUAAUCGCGGAUCAGAAUGUCGCGGUGAAUACGUUCCCGGGUCUUGUACACACCGCCCGUCACA